CAUUUUCAUUCAUUCACAAAUCAUCUUUCUUACCUCUUCAUUUCCUUCUUUCUCUAGUUUCUUCAUAUAGAAAUAUUAGUUUUAGUUGUCGAAGUUUUCACGGUGUCGGUUUGUAGUUUUUAGAGUUAUUUUGGGGUCAAAGUUCUUCUAAAGUUUUAAAGGAGUUUGAUACGUCAAAGUUCUGCUCAAAUCAUUUUCAUAAGUAACCGGUUCUGGGCAAACAUCAGAGAAAACGCUCGUGGACUUUCAACAACGAUCAACAACAAAAGGCGACGAGCUAGACCAUUUAGGAGGGAAGGCUAUGGAGUGACAGAUUACGAUAAUGUCAAGGCUGAAGGUUGCUAGCGUUUUGUCAAACGCUUAUCACAUCGUUACUAGUACGUAAUAUUAUAUACAGUCAGUAUAAGUGUCAGUCCUGUUGGACUUAGGAGGUCCUUCUAUUAAGCUUUCUUUUGAUUUUCAUGUACUUUUAUUUUAAGUUUUAUCUACGUGGCAAGGCCAUUAGUCGUAACGGUGUCAAACUUUAUGUAAAACAUAUUUGAAGCAUAUAUAUAUGUGAAGUAGUACAUUUUAAUU
Long non-coding RNA from Lathyrus oleraceus (garden pea), 576 nucleotides. RefSeq lists it as uncharacterized. The record is from RefSeq and is a predicted model, not a curated record. Lineage: Eukaryota; Viridiplantae; Streptophyta; Magnoliopsida; Fabales; Fabaceae. The transcript has 3 exons.